AUGAGAGAUAAAGGGAGGGGGCUGGAGGAGGGGAAAGGAAAGAUGAUCGCGCCACGAUGCUCCUGUAGUGCAAGUGGUCGUCAUGGCACACUAUGGCCAGUGUUCAGACUAUACUCUCAACUCUUGUGGGAAUUGCUCAGAGUAAUUCAAGAUCCUAAAAGAAGUCUUCAGAAUAACCCAAACUCCUACAUAACAAUACAUAAAUUAUUUGCGUCAGUAUAUGACCCUUCCAGUUUGAGAAGAGUUCAAAACUAUUAUACAAAUUCUUGCAAGUCUUCCUACUCUACAAUACUAAUCUAA
Molecule: ribosomal RNA, 300 nt
Filed under: Triticum aestivum (bread wheat)
Lineage: Eukaryota; Viridiplantae; Streptophyta; Magnoliopsida; Poales; Poaceae
Description: partial small subunit ribosomal RNA
Source: RNAcentral